Struthio camelus australis is the source of this 1467-nucleotide non-coding RNA. The record is from RefSeq and is a predicted model, not a curated record. Lineage: Eukaryota; Metazoa; Chordata; Aves; Struthioniformes; Struthionidae.
CGCGCUGCGCCGGCAGCGGUAGGGCUGGGAAAUCCCCUGGCGGCAGGGAGCUGGCCUGGACUGUCCCUCGCAGCGUGUGCAGAAAUCUCUUGGUGUGAAUGCUUAUGACAUUGAAACAACUGUACCUGUCGGGCAGCUCACUGAAGUUCUUAUCACCAGAGGCGAACUGGUCAUACGGUGAUGUUGGAGUGGAGCUCUGCCAGCCCAAACAAUCUCCUUUGAUAUCAGUCACAUAUUAACACAAAAAAGAGACCAGAUUCACAGCAAGGACUCUGCUUAGUCAUCUAACAGCCACUUUGGGCACCAUAAUGCAGCAUUUAGAUUCUCAAAAAUCUGUCACUGAACUGUAUACUGCUGGGCAUGGAGGAAAAAAAAAAUCCUGUGUAAACCUCAACAUCUGCCACCUGUAUCAUAUCAAAACCCCAGCAUGGGCCACAGAUGGAGUGCCAAUUUGCUUACCUUGCCUUCAAGACCUAGGAAGCACGUUCAGAGUUUGGCAAAAUUGUAGCCACGUGCUGUCACCCAAAGCCAAAUGGUGAGAGGGGGCAACGUGGAACUUGUAUUUCUUGUCUUUAUUGCUCAGUCUAGUUUAGAUCAGAGUUAGGACAGUGUUUCUGUGCGGGUCCUCCCUGUGCCAUGCGCUGCCUCAAGUAGUGGGGUUUUAGUGCAUCUCCAGUGAAGCAACCAGGAACGUGUGAGUGAGUGAUACUUGUUGCUUGUCAAAGUGCCUGACUAAAGGUGGAAAUAUAGCCUGGCUCUGUGAGAUAGAUUCAUCUGAAAUCUUGGAAACUGAACCUGUUCCUGUUUGCUGAAACAAUCUCAUAGACAGUGAAGAAGAGAUGCGAACUUAACUCCCUUACCCGUCCUGUUGGGUAUCUGAACCACUGAUUCAGUGCUGCUUUCAGUGAGUUUUAAAACAGCAGUAAGAAAUAUUUUGAACAUCCGAAUUUCAAAAUGUUUUCUAUAAUAAACGUUGUUAUUUAUCUAAAUCAAGUGAAGAGGAGUUUAAACCUGGAGCUUGUGUCUUCCAGGUGAGUGGCUAGUCACUGGGCUUAUUAUAAUAAAUUUUCUAGAGAGAAAGGACAGAGCUUUAAAUUACUCUGGAGUUCCCAGCUCUGAACCCAUGAGAAGGAUCAGGAACUUGACCAAAUCUGUGCUUGUGCUGGAGAGUCCUUGGUGCCCUUAUCUGGGCUUGCAGUGAUAAUGGCAGUGAGAGCUCCGACUUUCCCUGGGGAAUCCUGGCUACAUCCGUUGCGGUAGGGCAGCGACAGAGCUGCGUUGCAGGAGGGACAUGCUAUCAAGGGGAAGUACCUCAAGGCACCUGGUUUUGUGGGGAAAGGCUGGCUCCGUGGUGACAACAUCCAUCUAAGAAGAGAGAAGAUGCAGAGCACCCUGUGGAAAAAUGUUUUGCAGUGGCUUGAGACUGACUUUAAACUGGGAUAUCUGGGUGGGGAGAUGCAAUUUCUU